Molecule: transfer RNA, 73 nt
Filed under: Polyangium sp. y55x31
Lineage: Bacteria; Pseudomonadati; Myxococcota; Polyangiales; Polyangiaceae
Description: tRNA-Thr
Source: RNAcentral
GCCCUCGUUGCUCGAUGGUCGAGCGCCCUGCUUCGUAUCCAGGGUCUGCCCGGUUCGAUUCCGGGCGAGGGCU